This 253-nucleotide ribosomal RNA is filed under the name uncultured bacterium. Its description in RNAcentral is "partial 16S ribosomal RNA". It matches the Rfam family "Bacterial small subunit ribosomal RNA", at positions 524 to 776 of the family's 1533-position model. The record is from RNAcentral.
UACGUAGGGUGCUAGCGUUAUCCGGAUUUAUUGGGCGUAAAGGGAGCGCAGGUGGUUUCUUAAGUCUGAUGUGAAAGCCCACGGCUUAACCGUGGAGGGUCAUUGGAAACUGGGAAACUUGAGUACAGAAGAGGAAUGUGGAACUCCAUGUGUAGCGGUGGAAUGCGUAGAUAUAUGGAGGAACACCAGUGGCGAAGGCGGCUCUCUGGUCUGUAACUGACGCUGAGGCUCGAAAGCGUGGGGAGCAAACGGG